This 254-nucleotide ribosomal RNA is filed under the name uncultured bacterium. Its description in RNAcentral is "partial 16S ribosomal RNA". It matches the Rfam family "Bacterial small subunit ribosomal RNA", at positions 524 to 776 of the family's 1533-position model. The record is from RNAcentral.
UACGUAGGGGGCGAGCGUUGUCCGGAAUUAUUGGGCGUAAAGCGCGUGUAGGCGGCUUUGCAAGUCGGGUGUGAAAGCCCUCAGCUCAACUGAGGAAGUGCGCCCCGAAACUGCAGAGCUUGAGUACCGGAGAGGGUGGCGGAAUUCCCCAAGUAGAGGUGAAAUUCGUAGAUAUGGGGAGGAACACCGGUGGCGAAGGCGGCCACCUGGACGGUCACUGACGCUGAGACGCGAAAGCGUGGGGAGCAAACAGG